AUGAACGCUGGCGGCGUGCCUAAUACAUGCAAGUCGAGCGAACGGACGAGAAGCUUGCUUCUCUGAUGUUAGCGGCGGACGGGUGAGUAACACGUGGAUAACCUACCUAUAAGACUGGGAUAACUUCGGGAAACCGGAGCUAAUACCGGAUAAUAUUUUGAACCGCAUGGUUCAAAAGUGAAAGACGGUCUUGCUGUCACUUAUAGAUGGAUCCGCGCUGCAUUAGCUAGUUGGUAAGGUAACGGCUUACCAAGGCAACGAUGCAUAGCCGACCUGAGAGGGGGGAGGACAACACGGAAAAGAAGCCAGGGCAAAGACACAGAGGGGGGGAAGAAGGAGGAAUUCUGCAGAAGGGGGCAAAGGCGAGAAGGAGCAACGCGGGGUGGGUAAAGAGGGUCUGGGGAACGAAAAACUUUGUUAUGAGGGAAAAAAAUAUGUGAAAGAAACGGUGAAAAUUUGGGGGAAACCAAAGAAAAAAACCAGGAAAAACAACGUA
RNAcentral lists this ribosomal RNA (496 nucleotides) under uncultured bacterium. RNAcentral's name for it is "partial 16S ribosomal RNA". It matches the Rfam family "Bacterial small subunit ribosomal RNA", at positions 30 to 507 of the family's 1533-position model. The record is from RNAcentral.